Small RNA from Nocardia asteroides NBRC 15531, 68 nucleotides. It matches the Rfam family "ASdes TB sRNA". NCBI's taxonomy places the organism in Bacteria, Bacillati, Actinomycetota, Actinomycetes, Mycobacteriales, Nocardiaceae. The record is from Rfam.
AGCGCCACCGGAUCGACGCCGCGGGUGAGCACCAGGUAGUCGCGGAUGGCGAUGCCGUGCCGGUUCUC